GCGCCCGUAGUUCAAUGGAUAGAACGCCGGCCUCCGGAGCCGAAGAUCUGGGUUCGACUCCCGGCGGGCGUA
Molecule: transfer RNA, 72 nt
Filed under: Kiritimatiella glycovorans
Lineage: Bacteria; Pseudomonadati; Kiritimatiellota; Kiritimatiellia; Kiritimatiellales; Kiritimatiellaceae
Rfam family: tRNA
About the family: Transfer RNA (tRNA) molecules are approximately 80 nucleotides in length. Their secondary structure includes four short double-helical elements and three loops (D, anti-codon, and T loops).
Source: Rfam by way of RNAcentral